GAGUUUGAUCCUGGCUCAGGAUGAACGCUAGCGGGAGGCUUAACACAUGCAAGUCGAGGGGCAGCACGAGUCCGCCGCAAGGCGGAUUUGGUGGCGACCGGCGCACGGGUGAGUAACGCGUAUGCAACCUACCCUGUACAGGGGGAUAGCCCGGAGAAAUUCGGAUUAAUACCCCAUAACUAUAUCGAGAGGCAUCUUUUGAUAUUUAAAGUUUCGAUGGUACGGGAUGGGCAUGCGUGACAUUAGCUAGUUGGUAGGGUAACGGCCUACCAAGGCUACGAUGUCUAGGGGUCCUGAGAGGGUGAUCCCCCACACUGGUACUGAGACACGGACCAGACUCCUACGGGAGGCAGCAGUGAGGAAUAUUGGUCAAUGGGCGUAAGCCUGAACCAGCCAUCCCGCGUGCAGGAAGACGGCGCUAUGCGUUGUAAACUGCUUUUCCAGGGAAAGAAAACCCCCGACGUGUCGGGGCUUGCCGGUACC
This 483-nucleotide ribosomal RNA is filed under the name uncultured bacterium. RNAcentral's name for it is "bacterial SSU rRNA". It matches the Rfam family "Bacterial small subunit ribosomal RNA", at positions 9 to 479 of the family's 1533-position model. The record is from RNAcentral.